Molecule: ribosomal RNA, 372 nt
Filed under: uncultured organism
Description: bacterial SSU rRNA
Rfam family: Bacterial small subunit ribosomal RNA
Source: RNAcentral
CGUAGGGUGCGAGCGUUAAUCGGAAUUACUGGGCGUAAAGCGUGCGCAGGCGGUUCGCCAAGUCAGGUGUGAAAUCCCCGGGCUUAACCUGGGAAUUGCGCUUGAAACUAGCGGGCUUGAGUGUGGCAGAGGGGGGUGGAAUUCCACGUGUAGCAGUGAAAUGCGUAGAGAUGUGGAGGAACACCGAUGGCGAAGGCAGCCCCCUGGGUCAACACUGACGCUCAUGCACGAAAGCGUGGGGAGCAAACAGGAUUAGAUACCCUGGUAGUCCACGCCCUAAACGAUGUCGACUAGGUGUUGGGGAAGGAGACUUCCUUAGUACCGCAGCUAACGCGUGAAGUCGACCGCCUGGGGAGUACGGUCGCAAGAUUA